Molecule: transfer RNA, 76 nt
Filed under: Zoogloea sp.
Lineage: Bacteria; Pseudomonadati; Pseudomonadota; Betaproteobacteria; Rhodocyclales; Zoogloeaceae
Also listed under: 1 other name
Description: tRNA-Thr
Rfam family: tRNA
About the family: Transfer RNA (tRNA) molecules are approximately 80 nucleotides in length. Their secondary structure includes four short double-helical elements and three loops (D, anti-codon, and T loops).
Source: RNAcentral
GCCGGUGUAGCUCAGUUGGUAGAGCAGCGCACUUGUAAUGCGAAGGUCGAGGGUUCGAUUCCUUUCUCCGGCACCA